AUUGAACGCUGGCGGCAGGCUUAACACAUGCAAGUCGAGCGGGGAUUGGGUGCUUGCACCUAAUCUUAGCGGCGGACGGGUGAGUAAUGCUUAGGAAUCUGCCAUUUAGUGGGGGACAACAUUCCGAAAGGGAUGCUAAUACCGCAUACGUCCUACGGGGGAAAGCAGGGGAUCUUCGGACCUUGCGCUAAAUGAUGAACCUAAGUCGGAUUAGCUAGUUGGUGGGGUAAAGGCCUACCAAGGCGACGAUCUGUAGCGGGUCUGAGAGGAUGAUCCGCCACACUGGGACUGAGACACGGCCCAGACUCCUACGGGAGGCAGCAGUGGGGAAUAUUGGACAAUGGGCGGAAGCCUGAUCCAGCCAUGCCGCGUGUGUGAAGAAGGCCUUUUGGUUGUAAAGCACUUUAAGCGAGGAGGAGGCUACCUGGAUUAAUACUCUAGGAUAGUGGACGUUACUCGCAGAAUAAGCACCGGCUAACUCUGUGCCAGCAGCCGCGGUAAUACAGAGGGUGCGAGCGUUAAUCGGAUUUACUGGGCGUAAAGCGUGCGUAGGCGGCUGAUUAAGUCGGAUGUGAAAUCCCUGAGCUUAACUUAGGAAUUGCAUUCGAUACUGGUCAGCUAGAGUAUGGGAGAGGAUGGUAGAAUUCCAGGUGUAGCGGUGAAAUGCGUAGAGAUCUGGAGGAAUACCGAUGGCGAAGGCAGCCAUCUGGCCUAAUACUGACGCUGAGGUACGAAAGCAUGGGGAGCAAACAGGAUUAGAUACCCUGGUAGUCCAUGCCGUAAACGAUGUCUACUAGCCGUUGGGGCUUUGAGGCUUUAGUGGCGCAGCUAACGCGAUAAGUAGACCGCCUGGGGAGUACGGUCGCAAGACUAAAACUCAAAUGAAUUGACGGGGACCCGCACAAGCGGUGGAGCAUGUGGUUUAAUUCGAAGCAACGCGCAGAACCUUACCAACCCUUGACAUGUUUGUCGCGAGACUAAGAAAUUAGUCUCU
This 994-nucleotide ribosomal RNA is filed under the name uncultured bacterium. RNAcentral describes it as "bacterial SSU rRNA". It matches the Rfam family "Bacterial small subunit ribosomal RNA", at positions 28 to 1015 of the family's 1533-position model. The record is from RNAcentral.